This 30-nucleotide non-coding RNA is filed under the name Mus musculus (house mouse). The record is from RNAcentral. Lineage: Eukaryota; Metazoa; Chordata; Mammalia; Rodentia; Muridae.
UAAAAUGUUUUCCCAAAUUCUCUUGGUGUG